RNAcentral lists this unclassified non-coding RNA (246 nucleotides) under Hevea brasiliensis (rubber tree). Lineage: Eukaryota; Viridiplantae; Streptophyta; Magnoliopsida; Malpighiales; Euphorbiaceae. The record is from RNAcentral.
GAUUUUUCCGGUUUUCCAUCCACUCCGGCAGACUGAACUCCAUUAGCCUGAUUAUACUGCUCGAAAAUGGAUAAUUCUGCAGUGUUCCGCACAGAUCCAUUUCCAUUCAUAGUUGAAGAAUUUCCAUUUUGCACAGAAUCACCAUUGUCAGUUGCAUCUCGUGCAGGAACCUUCCUCCUCCCAAACGGAAAGGUCCAUCGAGUCAACGCAGGUUCGUCGGCCAUUUGUCUGAUUUUCCGAUUUGAA